Long non-coding RNA from Cyprinus carpio carpio, 801 nucleotides. The record is from Ensembl. Lineage: Eukaryota; Metazoa; Chordata; Actinopteri; Cypriniformes; Cyprinidae.
UUCUUAACAAACGUUGUAACCUACUUUCCUUUUAAGGGGAUCUCAGAUAUUCAAGAGGAGUUCUGCAGUGUUAUUUCAUCAAGGCAUAAUCCAAAACAUCUAGCAAAGCCUGCAGUGACUCCAACGCUGUCCUGAAGACAGACAAACAGAUUGCACUGAAAACUUUUGAAUGGUGACCGUCAGCAAACACAGCGGGAACGCAAGGGUAAGUCAGUAUAACAGCAUGUUUAUUGAAGGCAGGGGCAGGAGAAGACAAUACACUAGUGAGAUGGGAAGUAUCCAGGUAGCGUACUGGGUAGAGCAGCUUAGCUUGGUGGAGUCAUGUGUCCCUUCCUUUCUUCCAGGUGGGAUCACUGGAGCAGAGGAUUGUGGGAGCACUGGAGAACAUGGAGUCAAUCACUGGAGAUCUGGCAGAUCUGCCAGCAGAUGGAAAGAGGAAGAGAGCACUUGCUUUGUUUUUUAUUUAUGUCACUCCAGCAGUAGCAGACCAACCGUCUCUCAGAGCAGCAGGUGCUUGUGGGUGAUAAGAACUACCUGUCAACUGGUUCACUCUCACCUGUCACACUCAGACUGCUGUGGAGUGCUAGAUACAGUCAGACCGCUGCAGUGUGUGUGUGGGUGUGCACAUCGAAUGAGUAAUACAUGUAUUAAAUAAAAUGAAAGCAAAUAAUAAAAUCAUUGCUUUAAUUAAUACCUCAAUUCAGGUUCAUUAUAUUUAUUUUCAUUAGUUAUUUUCAUUAAAUUUUAGUUUCAUUAAAUAAUUAAAGAGAAAUAAAAUCUAACAUUUUUAGUUUCACAGAG